Long non-coding RNA from Catharus ustulatus (Swainson's thrush), 339 nucleotides. RefSeq lists it as uncharacterized. NCBI's taxonomy places the organism in Eukaryota, Metazoa, Chordata, Aves, Passeriformes, Turdidae. The transcript has 3 exons. The record is from RefSeq and is a predicted model, not a curated record.
CUGGGCUUCAUACAAAUGUGUGACAUCUGAACUAGAUCCUGGUAACUGAAGCAGUGCAAACUCAUGGAUUGUCCUUUGCUGCAUGUUUACAGUGUGAACUUGCAGUCCAUCUGCCCAUACAGUCAUCUGCUAAACCACCAGGGACACAGCUGGCAGAAAUAAAACCUAAGAGAAAAUCAUCUCCAGAAGAAUGGCUUCAGGAUGGUGCUACUGCAGAUAUUUCUAAAUAUAUUGUCCUCUGAAAAUCAGUAUUUUCUCCAGUUCUACCUCUCCCAGUCUGGAAAUAAUUGGGUUGUGCCACUGAUUCUGACUCUAGAAUAAAAAAAAUAUUGCAAUUUC